AGUGAACGCUGGCGGUAGGCCUAACACAUGCAAGUCGAACGGCAGCACAGUAAGAGCUUGCUCUUACGGGUGGCGAGUGGCGGACGGGUGAGGAAUACAUCGGAAUCUACUUUUUCGUGGGGGAUAACGUAGGGAAACUUACGCUAAUACCGCAUACGACCUACGGGUGAAAGCAGGGGAUCUUCGGACCUUGCGCGAUUGAAUGAGCCGAUGUCGGAUUAGCUAGUUGGCGGGGUAAAGGCCCACCAAGGCGACGAUCCGUAGCUGGUCUGAGAGGAUGGUCAGCCACACUGGAACUGAGACACGGUCCAGACUCCUACGGGAGGCAGCAGUGGGGAAUAUUUGACAAUGGGCGCAAGCCUGAUCCAGCCAUACCGCGUGGGUGAAAAAGGCCUUCGGGUUGUAAAGCCCUUUUGUUGGGAAAGAAAAGCAGCAGGUUAAUACCCCGCUGUUCUGACGGUACCCAAAGAAUAAGCACCGGCUAACUUCGUG
Molecule: ribosomal RNA, 492 nt
Filed under: uncultured bacterium
Lineage: Bacteria
Description: partial 16S ribosomal RNA
Rfam family: Bacterial small subunit ribosomal RNA
Source: RNAcentral